This 305-nucleotide ribosomal RNA is filed under the name uncultured bacterium. RNAcentral's name for it is "bacterial SSU rRNA". It matches the Rfam family "Bacterial small subunit ribosomal RNA", at positions 333 to 655 of the family's 1533-position model. The record is from RNAcentral.
UUAUUCCUACGGGGGGCAGCAGUGGGGAAUAUUGCACAAUGGGGGAAACCCUGAUGCAGCGACGCCGCGUGAGCGAUGAAGUAUUUCGGUAUGUAAAGCUCUAUCAGCAGGGAAGAAGAUGACGGUACCUGUCGAAUAAGCCACGGCUAACUACGUGCCAGCAGCCGCGGUAAUACGUAGGUGGCAAGCGUUGUCCGGAUUUACUGGGUGUAAAGGGCGUGUAGCCGGGUUGACAAGUCAGAUGUGAAAUCCUGCGGCUUAACCGCAGAACUGCAUUUGAAACUGUUGAUCUUGAGUACUGGAGA